RNAcentral lists this ribosomal RNA (497 nucleotides) under uncultured bacterium. Its description in RNAcentral is "partial 16S ribosomal RNA". It matches the Rfam family "Bacterial small subunit ribosomal RNA", at positions 28 to 507 of the family's 1533-position model. The record is from RNAcentral.
GAUGAACGCUGGCGGCGUGCCUAAUACAUGCAAGUCGAGCGAACGGACGAGACGCUUGCUUCUCUGAUGUUAGCGGCGGACGGGUGAGUAACACGUGGAUAACCUACCUAUAAGACUGGGAUCACUUCGGGAAACCGGAGCUAAUACCGGAUAAUAUUUUGAACCGCAUGGUUCAAAAGUGAAAGACGGUCUUGCUGUCACUUAUAGCUGGAUCCGCGCUGCAUUAGCUAGUUGGUAAGGUAACGGCUUACCAAGGCAACGAUGCAUAGCCGACCUGAGAGGGUGAUCGGCCACACUGGAACUGAGACACGGUCCAGACUACUACGGGAGGCAGCAGUAGGGAAUCUUCCGCAAUGGGCGAAAGCCUGACGGAGCAACGCCGCGUGAGUGAUGAAGGUCUUCGGAUCGUAAAACUCUGUUAUUAGGGAAGAACAGAUGUGUAAGUAACUGUGCACAUCUUGACGGUACCUAAUCAGAAAGCCACGGCUAACUACGUG